AGUAUUAUGUCAGAAUAAUGAGACGAAUUUAGAAUUCGUUAAUUUUAUUAAUUUUA
Molecule: transfer RNA, 56 nt
Filed under: Rotaria rotatoria
Lineage: Eukaryota; Metazoa; Rotifera; Eurotatoria; Philodinida; Philodinidae
Description: tRNA-Leu
Source: RNAcentral